This is an RNA transcript of Crotalus tigris (Tiger rattlesnake), 2304 nucleotides long. It is a transcript of the gene named WD repeat and FYVE domain containing 2, with no coding region annotated. The record is from RefSeq and is a predicted model, not a curated record. The transcript has 10 exons. Lineage: Eukaryota; Metazoa; Chordata; Lepidosauria; Squamata; Viperidae.
CAUAAAUUGAGGACUACCUAUAUUAUAAUGAAUGUCAAGAUAAUGCGGAAUAGCCUUAUUUUCUGUAUUUUUUUUCUUGUAAAAAACAUAAUGCGCUCUCUCUCUCUCUCUCAUGACGCUUUAAAAAUACUGAUGUUUACAGAACAGUCUGUUUCUUCCUGUGCUCCAGUCUAGUAACCCUUUUUAAUGCGAUUUAUCAAGGCGUUAGAUUAAAAGAGCUCUUUAAGAGUUAGAUCAAAAACGCCAAGGAAGCAAUUUAGGUGCACAGCAAAUUCGAAAGGAUUUCCAUUCAAGUCUUAAGAAUCGGACCUUAACUUUGCGGCGUCAUUCCAAGUUUUGUAAGUCAAUUUGAUGAAGGAGAAAAUUUACCGAACUUUUCAGAACCUUUAUAUCCAACAAAAUAUCAGCCUUUCUGUCUUUCCAUUGGAGGAACUGGAGAGAGCUUUGGGUGUCCAACGACUAUUUUGCAUACCUCAUAAAAUCCGAAGCAAAUCGGGAAUGUGGGAAUUAUAUGGCGGAUGCACACGUACACUAGCGGUGCCUUCCCCUCCCGACUUCUCCCCUUGCAGAAGUCCUGGAAUCCCGGCGGUUCUUUUAUAAGAUCCUUCCAUUUGGCUUAAUCAUAAACGCCACAAUAGACAGUCUUUGGAGUUUUAACGAUGUUUGCUUUGAUUUGGAGGAGAGGAGGAGAGGGCAUUAUGUGUUUUAGGCCGCUGCAUCAAAAAAGAGCUUGCCAUUCUUUAAUUUUCCUAAGCUUUACAAAACAGGUAGAUAUAUUAUCUGGAGAAAUCUCUCUCAUCCUCGAUCUCUCUCUCUACCUGUCGCAUGUCUGCUUGUCGAACACGCAAGAGAAAAUCUGCGAGAAGAAAAGAGGGUCUUCCUGCUUCAGCAUUCUUUGUACUUGCGGUGGAAGGGCGGUGGGUCUAGCCAUGAUGAUGAUAAUUCUAAUAACUGCAAGGAAAGUUAGCUUGUAGCUAAGCCGGCUUUUCCUUCCUGGUGGAGUCUCAUCCCAUUCUCAGUCCCCCUUUAUCGACCGGACGCACAGAUGAGCGAAGAGGCUACACUCGAGAUCCGGAAGUCUUCGGCGAAAGCCGUUGCGACCGUAGCCUUUUGGGGUUUGCCACUCUCCUCCCAAUGCGCAAGCGCGGCCCGAAAGGGUAGGGCAGGCCGGGAGUGCGGAGCUUUUGGUUGCGGCGGCGACGGCGGCGGGUUGGAAGCUGGCACCGCUCGAGCGCCCUUCAUGGCUGCUCAGCCUUCGCCUUCCGUGCCGCUCACUCGGCGGCCCCUGUUGCUCGGCCAGGUGGAGGGCUCGCAAGACGCGGUGACCAUGGCGGCCAUCGUGCCCAAGGAAGAGGGGCUCAUCAGCGUCUCGGAGGACAGAACGGUUCGGGUCUGGAUGAAGAGAGAUAAUGGUCAAUACUGGCCAAGCAUCUACCAUACAAUGCCAUCCCCUUGUUCCUGCAUGUGUGUUAACCCGGAAACAAGAAGAGUAUCUGUUGGUCUUGACAAUGGUACAGUCUCAGAAUUUAUUUUAUCAGAAGAUUACAACAAGAUGACAGCAGUUAAAAGUUACCAGGCUCACCAGAGCAAAGUGCUGAUGGUCCUUUUUGUUUUGGAAAUGGAGUGGCUCCUAAGUAUUGGGCAGGAUAAAUACUUUACUUGGCAUUGCUCUGAAAGUGGUCAACGACUUGGCAGUUACCGGAUUAGUGCAGGCGCUUGUGGGUUACAAUUUGAUGUGGAGACUCGGAAUGUUUUUAUUGGUGAUCAUUCUGGGCAAGUGACCAUCCUUAAACUAGAACAAGAAAAUAGCAGCCUCAUAACAACUUUCAGAGGACAUACAGGUGGAAUCAGUGCCCUGUGUUGGGACCCUGUUCAACGUGUCCUAUUUUCAGGCAGUUCUGAUCAUUCUAUCAUUAUGUGGGACAUUGGAGGAAGAAAAGGAACAGCUAUUGAACUCCAAGGACACAGUGAUAAAGUUCAGUCCCUCUCUUAUUCCCAUCACACUCGGCAACUCAUCUCUUGUGGGGCGGAUGGCAGGAUCGUUGUCUGGAAUAUGGAUGUUGAGAGGCAAGAGGUAUCCAGUCAGUUCUUCCUCUUUCUCUGAUCAGGGAAGUUAUCACUUACGUAAUCUUCAAAAGAUGCAUCAAAAAGCCAUUUAAGCCAAAGACACCAGAAUGGUUGGAAAGUGACUCUUGCCAGAAAUGUGACCAGCCAUUCUUCUGGAACUUCAAACAGAUGUGGGAUAGCAAGAAAAUAGGCCUUAGACAGCAUCAUUGCCGAAAGUGUGGAAAAGCAGUGUGUGGU